RNAcentral lists this long non-coding RNA (1321 nucleotides) under Sus scrofa (pig). Its description in RNAcentral is "lncRNA (ENSSSCG00005007563.1)". Lineage: Eukaryota; Metazoa; Chordata; Mammalia; Artiodactyla; Suidae. The record is from RNAcentral.
GAUGAGGACACCGAGGUUCUGAGGGAGAAAUGAUUUGCCCAGAGGCACACAGCUGGUAAGAGUCAGAUCCCUGCCUGGAAUCUGGGCCUGCCUCCAAACUUACUGCAGCCAGAAUCGAUUUCCUAGAAGCAAACCCUGCUGAAAGCCAGUUUAACCCCACCCACCCCCCAGAUGCCUGAAGCCUCCAACAAAGCCCAGACUCCACUGUGGUAAAUGGUGACCCCCCCUCCCCGCCGCUUCAAAAUACUGGCAGAUUCCUGGAUAAUAUGUCCCCUGCUUGGGAGCCUCUGCCUUUUGUCUAGGAAUGACAGGCUCACCGGUCUCUUUGUCCUGCCACUCUUGCUCCUACAGGGCUCAGCUUAGAGGUCUCCUGACCUUUCGGGUUCCCAGCGGUUCCUGAGCUUCCCCCAUCACAGCAGUCAACCCUACAUUGAUUGGCGGCCGUGUACUAGUGAUUCAGUCUCCCCAUAUCCACCCCUGAGCUUCCUGAGGACAGGCCCUGCGCUUACACAUCUCUGUACCGUCAGUGCCUGGCAGGUAAUGAUGAUAAAUAUUUGUUGAAUGACAAGGAAUGGAGCAGCCUUACAAGGAGUAGAUGGGGGGUAGGAAGGAAGAGGGCACCUUUGCUUCUAGCCACUCUUCUCUCCCUACUUGUCUUUUCUGAGGAAGGGGACAGAAUGAGUGAGGCAGUUGCCACCAUGCACACUGAUCAUGUGACUCCAGUUGUUGGGAACCAAAGGAGCGGGCAAGCCCAGCUUGGAGCAGGAAUAGCCAGAAAUCAAUACUUCCCCAGUGCCAGGAGGAGGAGUGAGGGGAGGGACUGGGUGGGUGUGCCUGGAUAAGGGUGAAAGCAGCUUUGAGUCUUGGAACCAGGAGCUCCCUAUGGGCUAUAGGGACUGGAGGGGGUAGGGGCUUGCCUUCCCUGAGCUGCUUGAUGGGGAGUACAGAGGAAGGUGGCCCAGAGCUGGGGUGGAAACUGAAAAACAGGCUUAUCUGAGUCUCCUAGAUACUUCUGAAGCCCAGGAUCACCAACAUCCCAGAUGCUGCAGAUUGCUGGUUAGGGAAGAAGGGAGAGGCAGUACCUGCAACAUUCCCGGGGGAGGGGGGGUGUCUUAGCUGACCUGGUACCAGAACCCACCUGGUGGCAUCUUUGUGCCCACUAAGGCCAGCCUUGCAGGUUGGUCCUCACACUCAAGCUUGGGACCACUUUUGCAGAGCAGUUUCUAUGACUUCAGAAAGACAAGAAGCCACCCUGAGGAGCAGCCCCUGGAGGACUGUCACCUACUCUAGGGCUGUACCAGUGGCAUAGGAGCUAUGGCUA